CAUAUUUCACUCUCUCUUUCUCAAUGUUUCUCAUCUCUCUGCUUCUACACUCUCACAGAAAAACCAACAAAUCUCAUAAGUUGUCUCAACCUCACUCUCUAUUUUAAAUUCCUUUACUUUCUCAAAUGAAAACACAACAUACAUAAACCAAAUAAAAUCACAAGGAAAGCUUUGAAUAAAAUAUAUAAAAAGUGAGGAUUACCGGCGAUACUCGUAGAUCUGACGGUGGCAGAUCCGACGAGAGGGAGCAAUUGCACUAGUGGGAUGACGGUGAGCAAUGGAUUUGAUGAUUAUCUAUCUUAUUCUUUUUGCUUCUAUUUUUUCAUUUUUAUUUUAUUAUUGUUAUGUUGAUAUUUGUGAGUUGUAGAUGUAGUAAGAUGAAAGUUUAUUUUAUGUGAAGAAAAAGAUGAAAAGUGAUGUUGCUGUUAUGUGAAGGUUUGUUGAUUUAUGUUAUGUGGUUGAAUCAAUACGAUGGCCACCCUCAGAUCCCCCUUCAUACUUUCUGUUACUUCUUAUUUAUAUUGAAAAUAAAUAAAUUAGGAUUGUUUGAAUAUAAAAAUAUUUUUGAUUUUGAUUCAAUUUAAUUUCUGAUGAAAUUCCUGCUUAAUUGCUCAAAUGAUGAUACUCUGCUCUAUCCUUUUUACAAUUGACCUUUUAAAAUAAGUUUUACUUAAGAAAAUACUAACUGUUGUGUUCUGUUAUCACUGCUGCAACAAGACAAAAUAACUGUCCAAGGAGAGUAGAAAGAAGUGGCAGGACAAAGUGGCAGGACAUUUUUGGGGUUCUGUAGAAUUUGAACGGAUAUAUGUAACUAGUAUAUAGGUAACUAAUGCAUUUGAAGGACAACAAUUCUAGUUACAUUAACAAUGUAAACAUAUUGGAUAUGCCUUGUAAGCAUAUUGUAAUUUUACUUAUAUGUAACUUUUUGCCUUGAUAAUUCUAGUUAUUGUUACAAUGUAACUAUAUAUUUAUUGAUUUUCUUUAAAAUAUAUUUUUUUAAACUAA
RNAcentral lists this long non-coding RNA (1005 nucleotides) under Lathyrus oleraceus (garden pea). RNAcentral's name for it is "Pisum sativum (pea) long non-coding RNA (PSAT_LNC030517)". The record is from RNAcentral. Lineage: Eukaryota; Viridiplantae; Streptophyta; Magnoliopsida; Fabales; Fabaceae.